GUUGGUUUUAAUUAUUGAUUCAAGGGAAGAGGAUUGAGACAAAAACAACACAAGCGAUACCUUGCUGUGUUAGCAUAAAGCAGAUGACUGUACGACUACAAUUUUCUAGCUCAUAAUAUUGAAAAUGCUUCCAACUCUUUUAAUAAUAGUAACAUUACUCUAUUCUUAUUAUACAUAUUUUGAAAACAAUCCUCUUAAAAAAGG
Molecule: long non-coding RNA, 204 nt
Filed under: Mytilus galloprovincialis (Mediterranean mussel)
Lineage: Eukaryota; Metazoa; Mollusca; Bivalvia; Mytilida; Mytilidae
Source: RNAcentral